CGGGAGGCAGCAGUGGGGAAUUUUCCGCAAUGGGCGAAAGCCUGACGGAGCAAUACCGCGUGAGGGAAGACUGCCUAUGGGUUGUAAACCUCUUUUUUCAGGGAGGAAUCAAUGACGUGUACCUGAAGAAUAAGCAUCGGCUAACUCCGUGCCAGCAGCCGCGGUAAGACGGAGGAUGCAAGUGUUAUCCGGAAUCACUGGGCGUAAAGUGUCUGUAGGUGGUUUAAUAAGUCAACUGUUAAAUCUUGAAGCUCAACUUCAAAAUCGCAGUCGAGACUAUUAGACUAGAGUAUAGUAGGGGUAAAGGGAAUUUCCAGUGGAGCGGUGAAAUGCGUAGAGAUUGGAAAGAACACCGAUGGCGAAGGCACUUUACUGGGCUAUUACUGACACUCAGAGACGAAAGCUAGGGUAGCAAAUGGGAUUAGAUACCCCAGUAGUCCUAGCUGUAAACAAUGGAUACUAGAUGUUGAACAGAUCGACCUGUGCAGUAUCAAAGCUAACGCGCUAAGUAUCCCGCCUGGGAAGUAUGCUCGCAAGAGUGAAACUCAAAGGAAUUG
This 557-nucleotide ribosomal RNA is filed under the name uncultured bacterium. RNAcentral's name for it is "bacterial SSU rRNA". It matches the Rfam family "Bacterial small subunit ribosomal RNA", at positions 342 to 912 of the family's 1533-position model. The record is from RNAcentral.